AAUAAGAUUAUUUUUCAAUCUUUUGAUACAAUGUUUUGACUCUUCAUUUUAUUUGAAAUUUUUUUACGAUUAAUAUUUUUAUUCUCACUAGAUGAUAAAACAUGAAUAGUACUUUAUACGUGACUAAUUUUUUAAAGUUUUUAUAAAUUUUUUAAAUAAGACGAAUGGUUAAACGCUGGACAUGGAAAAACAAG
This 194-nucleotide microRNA precursor is filed under the name Oryza brachyantha (malo sina). Its description in RNAcentral is "MIR812 microRNA precursor family". It matches the Rfam family "MIR812 microRNA precursor family". Lineage: Eukaryota; Viridiplantae; Streptophyta; Magnoliopsida; Poales; Poaceae. The record is from Rfam by way of RNAcentral.